RNAcentral lists this ribosomal RNA (301 nucleotides) under uncultured bacterium. RNAcentral describes it as "partial 16S ribosomal RNA". It matches the Rfam family "Bacterial small subunit ribosomal RNA", at positions 509 to 807 of the family's 1533-position model. The record is from RNAcentral.
CAGCCGCCACGGUAAUACGUAGGGUGCGAGCGUUAAUCGGAAUUACUGGGCGUAAAGCGUGCGCAGGCGGUUAUAUAAGACAGAUGUGAAAUCCCCGGGCUCAACCUGGGACCUGCAUUUGUGACUGUAUAGCUAGAGUACGGUAGAGGGGGAUGGAAUUCCGCGUGUAGCAGUGAAAUGCGUAGAUAUGCGGAGGAACACCGAUGGCGAAGGCAAUCCCCUGGACCUGUACUGACGCUCAUGCACGAAAGCGUGGGGAGCAAACAGGAUUAGAUACCCCUGUAGUCCCUGUCUCUUAUAC